GAGCACAUAGGCCAUGCCUUGGGUGGAGGCGUGAAUGGGAGGCAUACAAAGCUGCUUCUUGUGGUCUGCUCUCCCCGCCGCCUCUCAGGGAGGCCGUCCUGUCCACCAUCCUGUGGUCCUAAACAGCCACAUCCUGUAAUCUGAGGCCAGUGACCUAUGACUUGUCUCCUCACUUGAAGAAAUUACCAGGCUAGUUGGGUUCCAUCUCUUGAGCAUCUGUCUGUUGACGGUGGGAGCUGGGCUAAAGAUCCUGAAGUUGACUGAAGCUGGAGUGGUCAUUAUGGGAUGGUGCAGGAUGGGCUAAGGACAAGAAAAGAGCCAUUGGAGAGAGAAAGAGAUGAAGUGGAAGACAGUGAGUGAGGGGCUGGCAGAAGGAUUUCCCCUCUUCAAACUAGAGGAGAACUUCCUCAGCCUCCAUGCAGCCGGCCAGAUCCUAGGGCAAAGCUCUGGCUAGAGAAGGCAAGGACAGGCAAGAAAAUGUUUUAGAAAAAGACCCUUUCCAUCUGGAAUGCUUUUUCCAACUCCCUUCACACCUUCAGGCUGGCUUCUAGUUGCACCAGGAACUCUGGGCCCACGUGUGAGGUGCGGGGGCAACACUGUCCAUCGGGAGGACCUGUGGCUGCCUCCUCAUCCCUUCCACCGAGCGCAGGAUGGCACCAUUGCUGGCUUCUGCUGCCCUCUGUUGUGGUCCUGUACCUCCUCACCUGCUCAGAUGCUCCGCGGGGACUGAUGGAGCUCUUCCUGGUCUCCAGUGGUUCUUACUGGGUAGUGCUGGACAACAGAGUACCAGGAAGGCAGGGACCUGGCCAAGCGCACAUACGCAUGAGUGGAGGAAAUUUUACAAUUUUUAGGAAGCAACAAAAGUAUAAAGUGGGAAUUGCACAUCUUC
Pan troglodytes (chimpanzee) is the source of this 889-nucleotide long non-coding RNA. RefSeq lists it as uncharacterized. NCBI's taxonomy places the organism in Eukaryota, Metazoa, Chordata, Mammalia, Primates, Hominidae. The record is from RefSeq and is a predicted model, not a curated record. The transcript is spliced from 2 exons.